Molecule: non-coding RNA, 119 nt
Organism: Procambarus clarkii (red swamp crayfish)
Lineage: Eukaryota; Metazoa; Arthropoda; Malacostraca; Decapoda; Cambaridae
Source: RefSeq, a predicted model, not a curated record
CGACGGUUCAUCCCACAGCGCCAGUUCUGCUUACCAAAAAUGGCUCACUAGAUACUCAGAUUAGUCGCCGAAGCUUCAGCGUUCAAGCAAACUCGGCAUCUCACCCAUUUAAAGCUUGA